This 296-nucleotide ribosomal RNA is filed under the name uncultured bacterium. RNAcentral's name for it is "partial 16S ribosomal RNA". It matches the Rfam family "Bacterial small subunit ribosomal RNA", at positions 332 to 624 of the family's 1533-position model. The record is from RNAcentral.
CAGAUCCUACGGGACGCAGCAGUGAGGAAUAUUGGUCAAUGGACGCAAGUCUGAACCAGCCAAGUAGCGUGCAGGAUGACGGCCCUCCGGGUUGUAACCUGCUUUUAGUUGGGAAUAAAAGGGGGCUCGUGAGCCCCGUAUUGUAUGUACCAUCAGAAAAAGGACCGGCUAAUUACGUGCCAGCAGCCGCGGUAAUACGGAAGGUCCGGGCGUUAUUCGGAUUUAUUGGGUUUAAAGGGAGCGUAGGCUGGCUUUUAAGUCAGCUGUGAAAGCCCGCGGCUCAACCGUGGAAUUGC